UACGUAGGGUGCAAGCGUUAAUCGGAAUUACUGGGCGUAAAGCGUGCGCAGGCGGUUAUGCAAGACAGGUGUGAAAUCCCCGAGCUCAACUUGGGAACUGCACUUGUGACUGCAUAGCUAGAGUACGGUAGAGGGGAGUGGAAUUCCGCGUGUAGCAGUGAAAUGCGUAGAUAUGCGGAGGAACACCGAUGGCGAAGGCAGCUCCCUGGACCUGUACUGACGCUCAUGCACGAAAGCGUGGGGAGCAAACAGG
RNAcentral lists this ribosomal RNA (253 nucleotides) under bacterium. RNAcentral describes it as "partial 16S ribosomal RNA". It matches the Rfam family "Bacterial small subunit ribosomal RNA", at positions 524 to 776 of the family's 1533-position model. RNAcentral also lists the same sequence under 1 other name. The record is from RNAcentral.